GAGAAAGAAAGAGAAAGAAAGAAAGGAAAGAAAAAGAGAGAAAGAAAGGAAGGAAGGAAAGAUGAAGGAAAAUUGAGGCUGAGGAUCUGAGAUAGUCUGUAUAUGUAGCAACCUCUUUCGGCCACCACAUGGUUUUACUCCCUCAAUCUGCAGAGCUGUGCAGCAUUCUACUCCAAUGAUCAAGGACUCAGAAGAUCUUGUAUCUGGAAACUCAUGCUCCACCUGCAGCAGACCAGAGACCCUGGGGAAAUUCAUUUUGUUACACAGAAGCAGCCCUUUGUAGGGAGAGAGCAGUGAGGACAGUCCCUACAAUAGUGGCUGGGAGAUAAUGGCAGAGCUCAGGAUCCCUGUCCUCUACUGGGGAGAAAGGCAUGUAAGAAGAUGAGAAUGCCGAGUGUUAAAUGAGAAGAUCAGGAACCUGAGGCUUGAAGAAGUUAGAUGACCUGGUUAAGGCCACUUGACUGGAUUCAAACCCUGCCUGACUCCACAUGACUCCUUUGGGCAGCAUCGUGUGACCACACCACCUAUUAUUAAUGAGCCAGGGACUGAACUGAGACCUCUCAAUGACAGCGAGCAGAUAAGACGUGUGGAAGGAUAUUCCGAGGAGGAAAUUUCAAAAUGAAGAAAACCCUUUCCUCUUGAGAUCUUGCCUCCAAACCAGGCUUUGGGUUGGGCGAGAUCCGAGAGCAGCGUUGCACCUCAAUCCAGACUGACCUCACGGCGGCAGC
Molecule: long non-coding RNA, 728 nt
Organism: Homo sapiens (human)
Lineage: Eukaryota; Metazoa; Chordata; Mammalia; Primates; Hominidae
Gene: PLEKHO2-AS1
Product: PLEKHO2 antisense RNA 1
Exons: 4
Source: RefSeq, a predicted model, not a curated record